GCCGGAGUGCUGGAAACGCAGACAGCUCGGACUUAAAAUCCGAUGUUCCGUAAGGGACGUGUGGGUUCAAGUCCCACCUCCGGCA
RNAcentral lists this transfer RNA (85 nucleotides) under Candidatus Omnitrophota bacterium. RNAcentral describes it as "tRNA-Leu". It matches the Rfam family "tRNA". From Rfam's summary of the family: Transfer RNA (tRNA) molecules are approximately 80 nucleotides in length. Their secondary structure includes four short double-helical elements and three loops (D, anti-codon, and T loops). Further hydrogen bonds mediate the characteristic L-shaped molecular structure. tRNAs have two regions of fundamental functional importance: the anti-codon, which is responsible for specific mRNA codon recognition, and the 3' end, to which the tRNAs corresponding amino acid is attached (by aminoacyl-tRNA synthetases). tRNAs cope with the degeneracy of the genetic code in two manners: having more than one tRNA (with a specific anti-codon) for a particular amino acid; and 'wobble' base-pairing, i.e. permitting non-standard base-pairing at the 3rd anti-codon position. Lineage: Bacteria; Pseudomonadati; Candidatus Omnitrophota. The record is from RNAcentral.